This 323-nucleotide unclassified non-coding RNA is filed under the name Dermateaceae sp. RNAcentral's name for it is "partial contains 5.8S ribosomal RNA, internal transcribed spacer 2, and large subunit ribosomal RNA". The stretch from base 1 to 71 matches the Rfam family "5.8S ribosomal RNA", at positions 84 to 154 of the family's 154-position model. Lineage: Eukaryota; Fungi; Ascomycota; Leotiomycetes; Helotiales; Dermateaceae. The record is from RNAcentral.
GUGAAUCAUCGAAUCUUUGAACGCACAUUGCACCCGGUGGUAUUCCGCCGGGUAUGCCUGUUCGAGCGUCAUGAGAACCAGUAAAAGAUACCAGGCUUCGGCCUGCUGUUGGGGAUUGCGGCUUCUGCUGCAGCCCUAUAGUACAGUGGCAAGUCCCGAUGGGUUCUAAGCGUAGUAAUUUCUCCUCGCUACAGAGCCUCCCGGCACUUUGGUACUAAGCCCAAUGUAAAUUGGCAACUCCUGCCAUAAACCCCCCCAUCUUAGGUUGACCUCGGAUCAAGUAGGGAUACCCGCUGAACUUAAGCAUAUCAAUAAGCGGAGGA